GAUCAUGGCUCAGGAUGAACGCUGGCGGCGUGCUUAACACAUGCAAGUCGAACGGAGAUAUUGAAAGCUUGCUUUAGAUAUCUUAGUGGCGGACGGGUGAGUAACGCGUGGGUAACCUACCCUGUACAGGGGGAUAGCAGUUGGAAACGACUGAUAAAACCGCAUAAAACGGCAGUACCGCAUGGUACAACCGUCAAAUAUUCAUAGGUACAGGAUGGGCCCGCGUCUGAUUAGCUAGUUGGUGGGGCAACGGCCUACCAAGGCGACGAUCAGUAGCCGGCCUGAGAGGGUGAACGGCCACAUUGGGACUGAGACACGGCCCAAACUCCUACGGGAGGCAGCAGUGGGGAAUAUUGGACAAUGGGGGAAACCCUGAUCCAGCGACGCCCGCGUGAGUGAAGAAGUAUUUCGGUAUGUAAAGCUCUAUCAGCAGGGAAGAUGAUGACGGUACCUGACUAAGAAGCACCGGCUAAAUACGUGCCAGCAGCAGC
RNAcentral lists this ribosomal RNA (491 nucleotides) under uncultured bacterium. RNAcentral's name for it is "bacterial SSU rRNA". It matches the Rfam family "Bacterial small subunit ribosomal RNA", at positions 15 to 518 of the family's 1533-position model. The record is from RNAcentral.